CGCAGCAUUGUGGCAGCAGCGCCGCCAUUUUGGAAGGAUGGAGGAGGUCAUCAUCACAAAGUAUAAGGAACACAGACCCAGACACCUGUUUCUACACUCUAAGCAGUGAGAGGCAGAUCCACUCAGCUGUUCCUCAUUGUGGACUAAUUGCUGCAUGGCCCUGAAGGCAACACCCAAGGCUGCAGGAGGAAGAGAAAGCUGUGUGUUCCCCUCAAAUACGUCAGUUUGAGAGUGGCGAUGGCAUUGUUCUCCAGGAUCUCCGUCUUCUUCUCAGGCUGUAUCAGAGUGUUUGACACCAUCGCUUUUGCCACCGCCUGGAUUGGGAUGGACAUGGACGUAGAACACACAGAGGAAAGGGCACUGAAGAAUUUCCUGGCCAUAAACUCAGCAGGCCGGCUCUCCACUCGAUCUACCAGUAAAACCCUGUUGGAGGCAAACACAAAAGGUGAGCUGCCUCCUUCCGAAGAGAGUGAUCUUGGAGAAGAUGUUGCGCUCCAGCAGCUCUUUAAGCAGCACCUUGCCCGUUUCCCCAGAGGCACCGAGGAUGAAGCAGCUUUUAUUUUGUUGCCUGAAGUUUUCCUCCAGCGUCUUCAUGUCCUCAGCCAUGCUGUGAGCAGAAACAGAUAACAGCAUGCGUAAGUGCAGGAAGAAUCCAAGCCUUCAUGCAUUAUGUGCAACUACGCUGAGUGUAGAAUAUGGAAAAGAGGAAAGGAGAGAGCAACGUGUACUUACAUCUAAGUAGUCUUGCCAUGCCCGUCACAACAAGUUUGCCCUCUGCCAGCGAUGGAGAAAUCUGAGUGAAGCCACCAUCAUUCUAGGGAACUACUUUCUGGUGGAAGAAAAGUUUCUCAGCUUUGAGGCGGGAUGUGUCCACCGAGGACCCUUUGUCAACUUCAAAAGAAAAAAGAUGUCAGCAGGAUUUAAGGUGAGAAUUUUUUGGUUAAAUUGGCUUGAGAUUUUUUUCCACAGACUUUGAUCUGGUGGUGAAGCAGUGCUGCUACAAUGGCUACGGUUACAUGCACAAAGUAUUUCAGGUUUUGCCUUUUCUCAGAGAAAGACAGUAUUUCUAUUAAGCUGUUCACAAGCAUAUUCCAUGCCUCAACAUGUCGUUAUAAUCGCCAAAAUAUGGAAAAAUGGAACGGCUGGAGCCGCUUGUCAUUUUGCUUCUGGCAUCAAAAUAGUUUGUGGGAUUGAGUGAACACAGCCUCCCGUUUUCAUUCUUUUCUUUCAUAAUGUUUAAAAGUAGGUCUGUGUCUUCUUCCAAACACAAAUGUGGGCAUUUCUUUUGGGCAUGUAUCUCUGUAUCAGCCUUGCAAAGAGCUGGCUGGUUGGUUUGUGUAGAACUAGUCUGUGACAACGCACAGAGCUGACAAUAAGCUAGAUACAUGUCAAAGAAUGCUCCUGAAGCCUAAAUAAUAUCAGCAUAUCCCACGUCUUAAUCAGAAAAUGCCUAAUUCAGAAAAUGGCCCAUUGCAGCUUAUCCAAAAUUUGUCUGUUUACCUGACCCCUAUCAUAUUCAGAAUAGUAGUGGACUAUUAGUGUGUAUGUAAACAUAGUCGGUGUUUGCCUGCGUCCUUGUUACCACACAUAUAUUAUGGAUUUACAUGUAUAAACACAUCAGUUCUCCUCCAUUUUGUCCACUGAGAGCUUUGAAUGCAGACAUUAAAAUCAAAAACAUUCAGCUGUAUCUGAUAGGAACUGUUUCCUGCUCUCUUGAUUGCUUUCUGUUGACACACAUUUCCUCCAUUGUUAGUACAAUGCUAUUUCUUUCCCCAACUUAAAAAUCUGAUUUCGUUUAGUUGGGGUUUGAACAAAAUCAAACAAUGUCUAAAGUGUGAGCAGACAUGCUUUGAGGCGAACAUUCACUUUGGCUCGAUUUACCCUCACACAGUAAACUUCAGCCACAGAGUCGGAGGAAGAGCGGAUAACUGCCGGCUGUUCGUCCGUUCAACCAGCAGUGUCUCAUCGGUGUUCUCAGCAGCUGGUAGCUCAGGCUCCCUGAUGUUCCAGAGACAAGGGUCUGUAUUGCCAUCUGCAGGCCACUCAGAUGCACUGCAGCCGGACAGGCCCAGGAGUAUCUCAGCCUGAUGAGCUGGAGCUGAUGCUGUGGCUCAGUUGAGGAUGGAGGACUCCAGGCUGGUGUUUAAGAUGCUGAUGGCUGGUGAUGCGGGUCCGCGUCACUGUCGCUCUGUGGUGGCUCUUUCCUGACUCCUUCUCUCGGGGCAGAGUAGCCGUCAAACCCCACAUCCUCUGGGCGGAGCUGCAGCAGAGGGGGCCAUUCAGCUGGAGUGGGCGUGGCUGACCAUGGUCCCUCUCGUAUGGCCUCCAGCAUGUAGGGGAUGAUGGAGUAGUUCCAGAGGUCAGUGAACCAAACCCUGGAUCCCUCCACGUCCAUGGGACAGGACAAGAAGAGACGAGGUCCUGCAUGCCACAGAGCAGAGAGGAAGCGGUUGAGGUGGUGCCAAACCCGUGGGAUCCAGUCAAUAAUCUUCACCAGCUCCAUGUUGCGCGUUCGGCUGCCGAUCUCCGUCUCUAUCAGCUUCCUCCUCAGUGCUGGUAGUUGCAGUUGAAGACGCCAUUGAAGAUGUCUCCCAGGGAGCUGACGUGGUGCAGGUUGUCCAGAAUGACCACCAGAGGGCUGUCUGCCCCCGGGACACCGCUGCACUGCUCGGCCAAACCUGACAGGUAGCCGCAGGGCAGCAGCUCGGGUGUGUGGGCUGCACUGGGAGUGCUGGGCCGGUGGAUUUCGCCGAUAUUGUAUCCCUCCACGCUGUCUGAGCUCAGCCCCAGCUGGCUCACCGGGUCCACGUGGGCGUCGGACCACUCCGUCCAGGACAUCCCACUUCGUUUUCCCACUCACACCGAUGCAGCCGAUCAGAAAAUGACGAGGUCGGCCCUCCUGCGAUGCAAAAUCACGACUGGUUUUAGAUACCGAUAAGCCUUCAGGCUGACGACCAUCUUCACAUGUCGCCCUUCCUUCCUCAUCCCUCCCUCUCCGCCAGUGUCGUCUAGCAGCAUGUCUGACAGGAAGGCAGAGCAAGACCUGCAUGCGGUUCAUGGCCUCCCGGAGCUGGUCCAGCUGAUGUGCAGAGCUGAGAGCCUCCAGGCGGAUAUCAGUCAGUUUCAUCUCCUUCUCCCGGAGUUCACUGCGUAGCUGCAUCACUGUCUCUGCCUCACUGUCCAAACACUCAGACAGUCUGUUAAACUCCAUCCCAGUACUCCUACAAUCACAUAUAGAAGACAAUGUCUACGUACAGCGAGUUGGAGUGUGUGUUCCUGAGCAUGUGGCUGGAGGCAGUGGUGCCGUUGUGAGGCAGCUUAGGGGAGGACGGCAGCGACG
Non-coding RNA from Epinephelus lanceolatus (giant grouper), 3340 nucleotides. The record is from RefSeq and is a predicted model, not a curated record. Lineage: Eukaryota; Metazoa; Chordata; Actinopteri; Perciformes; Serranidae.